UAGGGAAUCUUCCGCUUUUGGACGCAAGUCUGACGGAGCAACGCCGCGUGAGUGAAGAAGGUUUUCGGAUCGUAAAACUCUGUUGUUAGAGAAGAACAAGUGCUAGAGUAACUGUUAGCGCCUUGACGGUAUCUAACCAGAAAGCCACGGCUAACUACGUGCCAGCAGCCGCGGUAAUACGUAGGUGGCAAGCGUUGUCCGGAUUUAUUGGGCGUAAAGCGAGCGCAGGCGGUUCCUUAAGUCUGAUGUGAAAGCCCCCGGCUCAACCGGGGAGGGUCAUUGGAAACUGGGGAACUUGAGUGCAGAAGAGGAGAGUGGAAUUCCAUGUGUAGCGGUGAAAUGCGUAGAUAUAUGGAGGAACACCAGUGGCGAAGGCGACUCUCUGGUCUGUAACUGACGCUGAGGCUCGAAAGCGUGGGUAGCAAACAGGAUUAGAUACCCUGGUAGUCCACGCCGUAAACGAUGAGUGCUAAGUGUUGGAGGGUUUCCGCCCUUCAGUGCUGCAGUUAACGCAUUAAGCACUCCGCCUGGGGAGUACGACCGCAAGGUUG
This 551-nucleotide ribosomal RNA is filed under the name uncultured bacterium. Its description in RNAcentral is "bacterial SSU rRNA". It matches the Rfam family "Bacterial small subunit ribosomal RNA", at positions 355 to 896 of the family's 1533-position model. The record is from RNAcentral.